This 468-nucleotide ribosomal RNA is filed under the name uncultured bacterium. RNAcentral's name for it is "partial 16S ribosomal RNA". It matches the Rfam family "Bacterial small subunit ribosomal RNA", at positions 28 to 507 of the family's 1533-position model. The record is from RNAcentral.
GACGAACGCUGGCGGCGUGCUUAACACAUGCAAGUCGAACGGAAAGGCCCUGCUCUUGCGGGGUGCUCGAGUGGCGAACGGGUGAGUAACACGCGUGUAUCCUGCCCUUGACUUUGGGAUAACUUUAGGAAACUGGGGCUAAUACCGGAUAGGAGCUCUUGCUGCAUGGUGUGGGUUGGUAAGUUUCGGCUGUUGGGGAUGUACUCGCGGGUUACCCGCUUGAUGGGGGGGUAGUGGCUUACCAAGGCUUUGACGGGUAGCCGGCCUGGGAGGGUGGACGGCCACAAGGGGCCUACGAUACGGCCCAGUCUCCUACGGUACGCAGCAGUGGGGAGUAUUACAGAAUGAGCGGAAGCCAGAUACGGCGACGCCGCGUGCGGGAUGACGGCCUUCGGGUUGUAAACCGCUUUGGACUGUGACGAAGCGUUAGUGACGGUAAUGGGUAAGGAAGCACCGGCUAACUACGUG